Molecule: small RNA, 28 nt
Filed under: Bombyx mori (domestic silkworm)
Lineage: Eukaryota; Metazoa; Arthropoda; Insecta; Lepidoptera; Bombycidae
Description: ovarian small RNA-16557
Source: RNAcentral
GCAUGGGCUACUUUGGCAAGCGCACGGG